RNAcentral lists this ribosomal RNA (652 nucleotides) under uncultured bacterium. RNAcentral's name for it is "bacterial SSU rRNA". It matches the Rfam family "Bacterial small subunit ribosomal RNA", at positions 53 to 698 of the family's 1533-position model. The record is from RNAcentral.
GCAUGCAAGUCGAACGGACCUUAGGGAUGGGUAACCUGAUCUAAGGUUAGUGGCGAACGGGUGAGGAAUACAUGGAUAACGUACCCUGGACACGGGAAUAGCGGCGGAGCUUCGGUUCCUUUGCGAAAGUGCCGGUAAUACCCGAUGAUCCCGCUGGAUCGCAUGAUCCGGCGGGCAAAUGCUCCGGCGGUCUGGGAGCGAUCCAUGUCCUAUCAGCUUGUUGGUGGGGUAACGGCCUACCGAGGCAUCGACGGGUAGCGGGCGUGAGAGCGCGUCCCGCCACAUCGGAACUGAGACACUGUCCGGACACCUACGGGUGGCUGCAGCAACGAAUAUUCCCCAAUGGACGCAAGUCUGAGGGAGCGACGCCGCGUGCAGGAAGAAGUCCUUCGGGAUGUAAACUGCUGUCAGGGGCUAGGAAGAUCUGACCAGCCCCAAAGGAAGCACCGGCUAACUCCGUGCCAGCAGCCGCGGUAAUACGGAGGGUGCAAGCGUUGUUCGGAAUUACUGGGCUUAAAGCGCGUGUAGGCGGAGUAUCAGGUGUCUUGUGAAAGCCCCGGGCUCAACCCGGGAACUGCUGGGCAAACCGGUAUUCUUGAGGCAAGUAGAGGUGAGUGGAACAACUGGUGGAGCGGUGAAAUGCGUAGAUAUC